This 483-nucleotide ribosomal RNA is filed under the name uncultured bacterium. RNAcentral's name for it is "bacterial SSU rRNA". It matches the Rfam family "Bacterial small subunit ribosomal RNA", at positions 29 to 533 of the family's 1533-position model. The record is from RNAcentral.
AACGAACGCUGGCGGCAGGCUUAACACAUGCAAGUCGAACGCCCCGCAAGGGGAGUGGCAGACGGGUGAGUAACGCGUGGGAACGUACCUUUCAGUUCGGAAUAACUCAGGGAAACUUGUGCUAAUACCGGAUACGCCCGCAAGGGGAAAGAUUUAUCGCUGAAAGAUCGGCCCGCGUUGGAUUAGCUAGUUGGUGGGGUAAAGGCCUACCAAGGCGACGAUCCAUAGCUGGUCUGAGAGGAUGAUCAGCCACACUGGGACUGAGGCACGGCCCAGACUCCUACGGGAGGCAGCAGUGGGGAAUAUUGGACAAUGGGCGCAAGCCUGAUCCAGCCAUGCCGCGUGUGUGAAGAAGGCCUGCGGGUUGUAAAGCACUUUCAGUGGGAAGAACGGGCUAAGGUUAAUACCCCUGGCUUCUGACGUUACCCACAGAAGAAGCACCGGCUAACUACGUGCCAGCAGCCGCGGUAAAAGUACUCUAAU